This 1462-nucleotide ribosomal RNA is filed under the name Epicarchesium pectinatum. RNAcentral's name for it is "SSU rRNA". It matches the Rfam family "Eukaryotic small subunit ribosomal RNA", at positions 140 to 1674 of the family's 1831-position model. Lineage: Eukaryota; Ciliophora; Oligohymenophorea; Sessilida; Vorticellidae. The record is from RNAcentral.
UGGAUAACCGUGACAAAUUACAGCUAAUACAUGCAGUCAGACCUGGUCCAAGGGUCGUAAUUAUUAGUACUAAACUAAUUCCGCAAGGAUUGUGAUGAAUCAUAGUAAUCGAACGAAUCGCAGGUAUAUGCGAUAAAUCAUUCAAGUUUCUGCCCUAUCAGCUUUGGAUGGUAGUGUAUUGGACUACCAUGGCAGUCACGGGUAACGGAGAAUUAGGGUUCGAUUCCGGAGAGGGAGCCUGAGAAACGGCUACCACAUCUACGGAAGGCAGCAGGCGCGCAAAUUGCCCAAUCCUGACACGGGGAGGCAGUGACAAGAAAUAACAACUCUAGGUUUUCUUAGAAGUGUAAUGAGGAUAAUUUACAAACCUUACCGAAUGCAAUUGGAGGGCAAGUCUGGUGCCAGCAGCCGCGGUAAUUCCAGCUCCAAUAGCGUAUAUUAAAGUUGUUGCAGUUAAAAAGCUCGUAGUUGAAGUUCUGAUUGUUCAGGUCUUCAGUCAUUAGACGGGGAUUCUGACAGUCAUCCGCUUGCAAACAUAUGUUCGAUUUUAACCGAUCGGCUAUGUGAGUAAGCAUUUUACCUUGAGAAAAACAGAGUGUUCCAGGCAGGUUUGUCCGGAAUGCAUUAGCAUGGAAUAAUAGAACAUGACUGGAGUCUAUUUAUUGGUUUAAGGCUUUAGUAAUGAUUAAUAGGAACAGUCGGGGGCAUUCGUACUCAGCAGUCAGAGGUGAAAUUCUAAGAUUUGCUGAAGACGAACUAAUGCGAAAGCAUUUGCCAAGGAUGUUUUCAUUAAUCAAGAACGAAAGUUAGGGGAUCAAAGACGAUCAGAUACCGUCCUAGUCUUAACUAUAAACGAUACCGACUCGGAUUCAGAUGAAUCAUAAAGUUCAUUUGGGACCGUAGGAGAAAUCAAAGUCUUUGGGUUCUGGGGGGAGUAUGGUCGCAAGGCUGAAACUUAAAGGAAUUGACGGUUUUGCACCACCAUGGAGUGGAGUUUGCGGCUUAAUUUGACUCAACACUGGGAAACUCAUCAGGGCAAGAAGAUUUUAGGAUUGACAGAUUGAGAGUUCUUUCUUGAUUGGUCUAGUGGUGGUGCAUGGCCGUUCUUAGUUGGUGGAGUGAUUUGUCUGGUUAAUUCCGUUAACGAACGAGACCUUAACCUGCUAACUAGUGUUUCGAUUCAUAAUCGAAAGCACUUCUUAGAGGGACUAUGUGAUGUAAUCACAUGGAAGUUUGAGGCAAUAACAGGUCUGUGAUGCCCUUAGAUGUCCUGAGCUGCACGCGUACUACAAUGGCACUUUCAACGAGUUUUUCCUGAUCCGAAAGGAUUUGGGUAAUCUUUUUAGUGAGUGCCGUGCUUGGGAUUGAUCUUUGUAAUUGUGGAUCAUGAACUAGGAAUUCCUAGUAAGCGCGAGUCAUCAGCUCGUGCUGAUUACGUCCCUGCAAAAUGUACACACCGCCC